CCUGCCCCGCGGGGUCCCCGGGCCGGCCCCGCCGCCCCUGGCAGGAGCAGCCGGGGGAGCGGGCGAGCAGCGGCCCCGCCCGCAGCGGAAGGUCUGAAUUGCAAUAAGAUGCCUCUACCUACGUCUUCCAUCACAGCUGGCUGCCAACUCUCUUGAAAGGCUGUUUUCUAAACCAGUGUGAUGCCUCAGGUGCAGAAGAGAGAGACAAUAAUUAACAAUGUGGCCUACAGCAUCUUGGGGAACAAUUAAUUUUAGUGAAUGGACAAG
This is an RNA transcript of Agelaius phoeniceus (red-winged blackbird), 267 nucleotides long. RefSeq lists it as uncharacterized. NCBI's taxonomy places the organism in Eukaryota, Metazoa, Chordata, Aves, Passeriformes, Icteridae. The record is from RefSeq and is a predicted model, not a curated record.